This is a long non-coding RNA of Salvia splendens (bonfire salvia), 1565 nucleotides long. RefSeq lists it as uncharacterized. The record is from RefSeq and is a predicted model, not a curated record. NCBI's taxonomy places the organism in Eukaryota, Viridiplantae, Streptophyta, Magnoliopsida, Lamiales, Lamiaceae. The transcript is spliced from 9 exons.
AUUGGAAUAAAAUUAGGGCUCAAUCAGAAUUUACGCUUUUCAUUCAAUUCACCAAUAGCACGAAUUCUUCCCACCGUCCACCCCAGCUCCGUCGCCGCCGUUCGCCAUUCCAGCUCCGCCGCCGCUCCAUCUCUGUCGCCGCAGUUUGCCGCUCCAGCUCCGUCGCUGCCGUUCGCCGCUCCAGCUUUAGGGUUUAUGCCCGCUGUACUCGAUCCACGCUAACAAAGCUCACUACCUUUGUUUAUCAUUUAUUAUUUGAAUAAUAGUACCAGCGGUCGCUCAUUCACUGAUUUCAUAUUCGCGGAAAAGAAAUGGAAGCAGUGCAUCUACUGCACCAAAUAUUUGUGAGACUUCUUGAUCAUUGUGGCAUAGAAGAAGAGUUUGGGAGAUUAGCUUCUUGAAUCAGGGAAGAAUUGUUUGUGCUUGGUUAACCCAAAUACAAAUAGAAAAGCAAAACCAUUGUAUAAUUGCAUUGGCAUGCUAUUUGAUUCCACCUGUACCGAUCUAAUCAGGUGGAAGAUUCAUUAAGAAAAGAAGUUUUAGAAACAGGUCUCAGUCUUGUUUUAAAUCUUAAAACUUUCUUGGAAGGCUGGUAUAUGUGGGGGUUGUUCAAUGGAGAUAUAAGAUUUUCCAAUUUUCAUAAACUUAGAACCUUAGAAAGUGCAGGUGUCAUAAUUUGUUUUAAAUAAUAGAUAUGGUUUGCUUUAAGUCUAACUGAAGAUGCUAGUUUUAUUUUGGUCCUUAUCACAAUUUCCUACUGACCUUUCUUCUGUGCUUAAUUUGACAAUGAACUUCUGUUUUGUAUGAAUAAUAAUCUCGUUCUGAUACUUAUGCAUUGGCCCCUCCAUUUCCUUUGCAGGUUGUAUCUGCUCUUUCAGUAGAAGCAGCAUCUCUUAAGACAAUGUGAGGCUUUCUAGGUUUCACAUAUAGAAGUGGAUGGAUGUAUACAUACUUUGUUUUUCUGUAGUUAUAUUGAGUUUGAAGGACAGAAAAUCCUAGUUGAUAAGGCGCAGCAUUGCUCAUUUGACCUAGGUGGAAAGAGUGGUGCUUGGUGACAUCUUCUUGAAGAAACAUCUUAUAUGAAGUUAAAAUUAAUGAUGUUAAGGUUGUAUAUUUCUUACACAUGCCCCUAUGCUCAUUGCCCAGAGAACAAGGUGCCAUCACUAGAACACAACAAUGAAGGUAAAGGGGAAAGUCUUGACUUGAUUCGAUAUAUUGAUCAAAACUUCAAAGGCCCUUCGCUUUUUCCUAAUAUAAGUCGUUUGGACGCAACAUAUCCGAUGCUCAUUACAAAGCUUGUUGUAUGCUGGGAUCAACAUCAGUGGUACUAAUUGGGAGGUUAUCCCAGUUUAGUGGGGGUUUCAAGUUGGUCCGAGUGUUGGGAUUAAAGCCGGAGACCACAUCUGGUGCGCAAGAUACCUGCUUGAGGGCUGCAUAAGAUAUAGGAGUAUGAUCGUAGUACAAAUAGAAAUAUAUAAAGAAUUACGCAUCCUAAAGCCGAGUUACCGACACCAUAAACUUGUCUAACGCCAGCACCGCCGAUCCACCCUCCCUCACCGCAGCCC